UACGGAGGGUGCAAGCGUUACUCGGAAUAACUGGGCGUAAAGGGCGCGUAGGCGGCCUAGCAAGUCUGGUGUGAAAGCCCAGGGCUCAACCCUGGAAGGGCACUGGAAACUGUUAGGCUUGAGUUCCGGAGAGGAGGGGGGAAUUCCCGGUGUAGCGGUGAAAUGCGUAGAUAUCGGGAGGAAAACCGGUGGCGAAGGCGCCCCUCUGGACGGAAACUGACGCUGAGGCGCGAAAGCGUGGGGAGCAAACAGA
This 253-nucleotide ribosomal RNA is filed under the name uncultured bacterium. RNAcentral's name for it is "partial 16S ribosomal RNA". It matches the Rfam family "Bacterial small subunit ribosomal RNA", at positions 524 to 776 of the family's 1533-position model. The record is from RNAcentral.